GAUGAAGAACGUAGCGAAAUGCGAUAAGUAGUGUGAAUUGCAGAAUUCAGUGAAUCAUCGAAUCUUUGAACGCACAUCGCGCCCCUUGGUAUUCCAUGGGGCAUGCCUGUUCGAGCGUCAUUUGUACCUUCAAGCUCUGCUUGGUGUUGGGUGUUUGUCUCGCCUCUGCGUGUAGACUCGCCUCAAAACAAUUGGCAGCCGGCGUAUUGAUUUCGGAGCGCAGUACAUCUCGCGCUUUGCACUCAUAACGACGACGCCCAAAAGUACAUUUUUACACUCUUGACCUCGGAUCAGGUAGGGAUACCCGCUGAACUUAAGCAUAUCAAUAAGCGGAGGA
Molecule: unclassified non-coding RNA, 337 nt
Filed under: soil metagenome
Description: partial contains 5.8S ribosomal RNA, internal transcribed spacer 2, and large subunit ribosomal RNA
Rfam family: 5.8S ribosomal RNA (bases 1-120)
Source: RNAcentral